RNAcentral lists this ribosomal RNA (253 nucleotides) under uncultured bacterium. RNAcentral's name for it is "partial 16S ribosomal RNA". It matches the Rfam family "Bacterial small subunit ribosomal RNA", at positions 524 to 776 of the family's 1533-position model. The record is from RNAcentral.
UACGUAGGGUGCAAGCGUUGUCCGGAAUUAUUGGGCGUAAAGAGCUCGUAGGCGGUUUGUCGCGUCUGCUGUGAAAAUCCAGGGCUUAACCCUGGACCUGCAGUGGGUACGGGCAGACUGGAGUGCGGUAGGGGAGAUCGGAAUUCCUGGUGUGGCGGUGAAAUGCGCAGAUAUCAGGAGGAACACCGGUGGCGAAGGCGGUUCUCUGGGAAUGUCCUGACGCUGAGGAGCGAAAGUGUGGGGAGCGAACAGG